This 79-nucleotide non-coding RNA is filed under the name Eutreptiella gymnastica. The record is from RNAcentral. Lineage: Eukaryota; Euglenozoa; Euglenophyceae; Eutreptiales; Eutreptiaceae.
CUGAAUGCAAGAAAGAAAAAGAAAAGAGAUAAAUGAAACAGAGAAUGUAUUGUAAGUACCAAGUUCAGGUAUAUUUAUU